Ictidomys tridecemlineatus (thirteen-lined ground squirrel) is the source of this 130-nucleotide unclassified non-coding RNA. Lineage: Eukaryota; Metazoa; Chordata; Mammalia; Rodentia; Sciuridae. The record is from Ensembl.
AGCGAGCCAGGAGCUUUAUUUAGCAGCACUGAAACCCUACAGACCUGGACAGGACUCCUCAGCUGGUGUCUUUGCUGACCAAGAGGACAAAAGCUCGUGAGCAGGCUCUGCCCCUCCGGGAAGAGAGCCA